CCAGACUCCUACGGGAGGCAGCAGUGAGGAAUAUUGGUCAAUGGGCGGGAGCCUGAACCAGCCAAGUCGCGUGAGGGAAUAAGGCCCUACGGGUCGUAAACCUCUUUUGCCGGGGAGCAAGGGCGGGGACGUGUCCCGGCCCGGAGAGUACCCGGAGAAAAAGCAUCGGCUAACUCCGUGCCAGCAGCCGCGGUAAUACGGAGGAUGCGAGCGUUAUCCGGAUUUAUUGGGUUUAAAGGGUGCGCAGGCGGAGAGUUAGGUCAGGGGUAAAAUUCGGGGGCCCACCCCCGGCGAGCCGUUGAAACUGGCUUGCUAGAGUGGGCGAGAAGUAUGCGGAAUGCGUGGUGUAGCGGUGAAAUGCAUAGAUAUCACGCAGAACUCCGAUUGCGAAGGCAGCAUACCGGCGCCCAACUGACGCUCAGGCACGAAAGCGUGGGUAUCGAACAGGAUUAGAUACCCUCGUAGG
Molecule: ribosomal RNA, 466 nt
Filed under: uncultured bacterium
Lineage: Bacteria
Description: bacterial SSU rRNA
Rfam family: Bacterial small subunit ribosomal RNA
Source: RNAcentral